This 402-nucleotide ribosomal RNA is filed under the name Parpano sp. BOLD:ACZ2408. RNAcentral describes it as "partial 16S ribosomal RNA". The record is from RNAcentral. Lineage: Eukaryota; Metazoa; Arthropoda; Malacostraca; Amphipoda; Pardaliscidae.
UAGCAUAAUAAUUUGUUUUUUAAUUGAAAAAGGGUAUGAAAGGUUUGUCAUUAAAAAGCUGUCAAAUUUUUAGUCUGAGAAAUUUAAUUUUAAGUCAAAAUGCUUAAAUAAAAAAAGGGACGAUAAGACCCUAAAAUCUUAAUUUAAAUUUAAUUAUAAAAUUACUUUUAUUUUUAGCUGGGGAAGCCAUCACAUAUAUUUUGUGAGUCAUUAGACAGAAAGUAUAAGUGAAUUUAUUUAUAUGAUUUAUUAGUGUUAGAUACUUUAGGGAUAACAGCACAAUAAUAUUAGUAAGUCCUUAUUUAUAGUAUUGCUUGUGACCUCGAUGUUGAAUUAAUUUUUUUUUUCAAGGAAGAAUGUGAGAGAAAGGGUUUGUUCAACCUUUAAAUUUUUACAUGAUUU